GACCAAGUGCUCCGACAGCAGUAUUUCUCAAUGCAAUAACAAUAUUGGAAGUUUUACAUGUACAUGUAACAUGGGAUACAGGUUUAAUGGUACCAACUGCAUUGAUGUUGACGAGUGUUUGACUCAGUGUAAAGGAACAGGAUCCGAAUGCACGAACACAAUUGGAAGUUUUACGUGUAAAUGCAUCACCGGAUACAAGGGAGACGGCUUCACUUGUGACGAUGUUGACGAGUGUUUGACUCAGUGUAAAGGAACAGUAUCCGAAUGCACGAACACAAUUGGAAGUUUUACGUGUAAAUGCAUCACCGGAUACAAGGGAGACGGCUUCACUUGUGACGAUGUUGACGAGUGUUUGACUCAGUGUAAAGGAACAGGAUCCGAAUGCACGAACACAAUUGGAAAUUUUACGUGUAAAUGCAUCACCGGAUACAAUGGAAACGGCUUCACUUGUUACAGUCAGGUUGUUGUGCUAUUGGCAGUUACAGCACUACAAUCACACACAGGCUACUACCUAAGUGGAUCAAGUACAGCACACGUUGGACAGUCCUUUUUACCAUCGUGUGUGGUUUUCGAACUGGAUUCUGGUGCUAGUGGUCAGUAUAUACAACUGAUCAAUACUAAUACCAAUGCAACUGUAGCUGAACAGGGAGCGUUUACUGUUCCACCCUCCGGCCAUACAUUACUAUACUGGAACACCUCAUCACAUGACACUCUGGACCCAACCUACACUGGACUGUACAGGUGUAUUACAGAUACAGCAAUGUCAGAAGAGACAUAUCAAAUCAAUGUUGUAGUUCCACCUACCAUACUGUCAUUCAACACAUCGCAUUAUGUGGACAACAACAACACUAUUCACCCAAUCAGUUGUACAGGUCAGGGAUACCCAGAACCUACAGUGACACUAAUGGUCAAUAAUGUGGUAGUGACAGGCACUGCUACCAGCAAUUGUACUGCUGGUGUUUGUACAAAGACACGAACAGCAUCUCUAGAUGGUAGUACCUACACACCUGGCCAGUCCAUCAAUAUCACCUGUACUGUGGAUAUCAACCAACCACCAUUCACAUGUACUGCUACUAAUGUUCAUGAAAUACAAGCACGGUGUUAUAAUGCUGCCAAGACUACGUCACAAACAAGAACUGUCCCUGUAGUUGCACCCUGUCCCCUGUUCGAUCCCUCUCGUGGUUAUGAUUUCAAUGCUACAUUCUCCAAUGCCUCUGGAACUGUUCUGGGAAUUUCAUGUCGUGCCGGCUUUACUGUGGAUACUAGUAUGAGUUCCAUUGACACAAUAACAUGUCAGGGUAAUAGAAUGUGGACACCUCUUCCGAAUUGCACAGACGUGAAUGAGUGUUUGACCAAGUGUUCUGACAGCAGUAUUUCUCAAUGCCAGAACACUAUGGGAAGUUUUACAUGUACAUGUAACAUGGGAUACAGGUUUAAUGGAACCAACUGCAUUGAUAUCGAUGAGUGUAACAGCAUGUGUGAUAGUACAUCGUCACAAUGCAACAACACUUUGGGAAGUUAUUCGUGCAUCUGCAAUCCUGGAUACACUGCUGAUGGGACUACCUGUGCAGUGGCUAUUCCUAGUGGAAAGUCCAGGGUGAGCGGUGGGGCAAUGGCAGUCAUGGCCAGCUUGCUAGUGAUUGUAUUGAUUUGAGGCAUUGUUUUCACUCUGCCUAGGAAAGAUUCUCCUGGAUUGGGGAAACAUAUUUCUAUGACAGAGAUGAAUACUUAUGACUCCAACUGGAGUACCGGAACAGUGGGAAAGUUUUCUACAAGCCUUGGCAAGUGGAAAAACCUGACGACCAGUUCCAGUCAUUGUUAGCAUUCCUGUAGUGUUACACCACGCAUACACAUGCAUGCAUAUGUCAACACACAUAUACACAAUUAUUAUGCAUGACUGUAAGAGGUAAUAAUCAGUACGCAUUUCACACGAUGUCACCUGAUGCCAUUAUUUCACUUCGUGUUGGUACUUCUCUAGUACUGUGAUGCUACUUGCAUGAAGCUAAUCUUGGUCUAAGGACAUAUUGGUAGGAAAUAUUGAUAAGGAAACUUAGCAUUGAUUGAAUUGAAGCAUGCACGAUUUCAGGUUUGUCUAUUAUGACGGUUUACCUCUCCUGGUGGUCCAUCAGGUUUUCAUGCCUUUGGAUGUAUUGUCAAUGUCGCUGCAUUCAGCUUGAAGAUAUUAAUUUUGAUUUUUCAUUGAUACUGGAGUGAGCAUUCUAACAACACAGUCAUAGUGCCUAUCGUAAAUGCAUUUCCACUGAUAUCUUGUGAAGGAGUAUUUUCGCUUCGCACUGUUACAUUUUGCCUCCAAGUUUGUUAUCACAAAUCGAUACUGUUGUUGAUAAAUGUCGCUGCAAUCAGCUAGAACAGUUGGUUUUCCAUUGAUCGA
Molecule: RNA transcript, 2392 nt
Organism: Sycon ciliatum
Lineage: Eukaryota; Metazoa; Porifera; Calcarea; Leucosolenida; Sycettidae
Gene name: latent-transforming growth factor beta-binding protein 2-like
Exons: 12
Source: RefSeq, a predicted model, not a curated record